CCUACGGGAGGCAGCAGUGGGGAAUAUUGGGCAAUGGGCGCAAGCCUGACCCAGCAACGCCGCGUGAAGGAAGAAGGCUUUCGGGUUGUAAACUUCUUUUGUCAGGGAAGAGUAGAAGACGGUACCUGACGAAUAAGCCACGGCUCACAACGUGCCAGCAGCCGCGGUAAUACGGGGGAUGCAAGCGUUAUCCGGAUCUAUUGGGUUUAAAGGGUGCGUAGGCUGUGAGGUAAGUCAGCGGGGAAAUGCCGCCGCUCAACGGGGUGAAGUGCCAUUGAUACUGCCUUGCUGGAAUGCGGAUGCGGUGGGAGGAAUGUGUGGUGUAGCGGUGAAAUGCAUAGAUAUCACGCAGAACACCGAUUGCGAAGGCAUCUCACGAGUCCGCGAUUGACGCUGAUGCACGAAAGCGUGGGUAUCAAACAGGAUUAGAUACCCUAGUAGUC
This 443-nucleotide ribosomal RNA is filed under the name uncultured bacterium. Its description in RNAcentral is "partial 16S ribosomal RNA". It matches the Rfam family "Bacterial small subunit ribosomal RNA", at positions 338 to 795 of the family's 1533-position model. The record is from RNAcentral.